This 238-nucleotide ribosomal RNA is filed under the name uncultured bacterium. Its description in RNAcentral is "partial 16S ribosomal RNA". It matches the Rfam family "Bacterial small subunit ribosomal RNA", at positions 96 to 334 of the family's 1533-position model. The record is from RNAcentral.
UGGCGGACGGGUGAGUAACGCGUGGGUAACCUGCCUCAUACAGGGGGAUAACAGUUAGGAAUGACUGCUAAUACCGCAUAAGACCACAGCACCGCAUGGUGCAGGGGUAAAAACUCCGGUGGUAUGAGAUGGACCCGCGUCUGAUUAGGUAGUUGGUGGGGUAACGGCCUACCAAGCCGACGAUCAGUAGCCGACCUGAGAGGGUGACCGGCCACAUUGGGACUGAGACACGGCCCAA